Molecule: ribosomal RNA, 220 nt
Filed under: uncultured bacterium
Lineage: Bacteria
Description: partial 16S ribosomal RNA
Rfam family: Bacterial small subunit ribosomal RNA
Source: RNAcentral
UACGAAGGGGGCUAGCGUUGCUCGGAAUUACUGGGCGUAAAGGGCGUGUAGGCGGGACAGUAAGUCGGGCGUGAAAUCCCUGGGCUCAACCCAGGAACUGCACUCGAAACUACUAUUCUUGAGUGUCGGAGAGGAAAGCGGAAUUCCUGGUGUAGAGGUGAAAUUCGUAGAUAUCAGGAGGAACACCAGUGGCGAAGGCGGCUUUCUGGACGAUAACUGA